GAGGAAAUUUUAGCUAACUAAAUUAAAAAACUUCAAGGAAAGGGGGGGGGGGGGAAGAGAGGAAAUUUUAGCUAAUUAAAUUGAUGGAAAUAUUUGAGCAAUUAAAAUAAGGGAAAUUAUUAGCCAUAUAUCUUUAAAUGACACUCGUAUCAAAUGUGUGUGAAUACUUUUCAAGUGUAUCACUCGUAUACCCUAAGUUGACAAAAUACUUCUGCCGUCCACCAAUCCGUUAACUUCUGUUUGCAAGCGCUGACAUCAUAAGGGUAAUCUAGUCUUUUAAGAUUGACGAAACUUUGAUUUAAAAAAACGACAUGUCAUCUCAUUUACCUAGUAAAAAAUGACAUGUCAUCUCAUUUACCUAGUAAAACAUGACAUGUCAUAUGAUAUAUAUUGAUAAAAAUGACAUGUCAUCCAAUUUAUCAGAUAAUUGUUAAUAAUUGCUAAAAAAAAAUUACUUUACAACUGGAAAUUUAACCUAAAUUUUUAAAGAUCUACUCUUCCAAGCUCCAACUGGAAAUUUUUAUGGUAUAAUAUAUAUAAUUGUAAAUAAUAUGUUGUUAAUAAUUUUUAUGGUAUAAUAUUGAUUUUUUUAUGGAUAAUUGUUAAUAAUAUGUACCAUUAAUAAUUUAUUUUGUAAUCAAAAAAAUAUAUUGUUAAUAACAAAAUAAAAAAAAUUGUGUAUUGAAAAUUUACAUUAAUUUUUGGGAUAAAUUUAGUUUUUUACAUCAUUUUGAGUUUCAAGUGUAAAAUAAUUUAUUUGUCACAAUUCAGAUAACUUUCUAACGGAAGUUAACAGAUUUGUGGACGACAGAAAUAUUUUGUCAACUUAAGGUAUACGAGUGAUACACUUAAAAAGUAUUCACACACGUUUGAUACGGAUGUCGUUUAAAGAUAUGUAGUUGAUAAUUUACUUUAAAAUAAUUAUAGAAAACUCAAUAAAAUAUAGUAAAAAUCGAGGGACAAAACAGUAUUAAUUUGGCAACUCUGAGUCAGACACGGAACAUAUCUCAUUCCGUUCAACAGAAGACCAAUAAAUGGAGAAUAUGGAAGUGACUAGGCCUUGCCUAGCCAUGAAAUCAUCUCCUGCUAUCUCGUGAAAAGAGAAUCCGUAACACUGUGGAGGGUGAUGGAGAUUGAAUCAUUGAAAUAGAUUUGAGGUCCGUCCUAAGUUGAAGUUGGGUAAGUACUGGCUCGUGAUGUCAAGUUUUUUUUUGAUAAAGCUCGUGAUCUCAAGUUAAAAUGUAGUGGGGGGAUUGUUUAUUUACUGUUCAUGCACAUUCAUUGAGCCGGCCACUAUGAUACAAUAUCCCUUGAAUUAGGGCAUGAAGUAAGGUUCUUUUAUUUAUUUAUUUAUUCUACAAGAGAUGUAGUAUUGUACAUGUUUUUAUAUAAAUAUAAAAAACAUGGGAGAGGCUAUGGUACAUUGGUACUUGCGAGUAUUGGCAUAAAUAUGUGUGUGAUUGCAGAUUUAAAAUAUGAGUUGUUAGAAUUUAAAUAGCCCCAUUAAUGAUAAACUAGUAUCUUAAACCUUUUGACUUGAAUGAAAUAUGAGUAUUUUAUACUUAAAUCAUUAAUAGAGUUAACUUAGGUUACUUGUUAAUGUCGUUUUCACUAACGUCUAUAUAAAAAGCUCUAUUUACAAAGAAAUAUACAGACUAUUUUUUUUUAAGAAGUAGGAUAGGUAAAAUUUUUGUCUCUUAUCUUACCUAUUAUUCGAACUUAUACGGGUAGCUCAAGAAAACUAAUAUUGAAAAUCCACUCAGGCAAGCUUUUCUCGGACAAUAUACAAAUAAUUUAGCUACAUAGUAUCGGAGUCUCCCAAUUCCUUCUACAUGUAAAUUCUUUCUAUCUUGGUUUUUAUUUCAAUUUCUUAGCAAUUUAUGGGCUCUUGCCUCUCUGCCCAUCUCUCUCUCUCUCUCUCUCUCUCUCUCUUUGUCCUUUUCUCUUUUUUCCCUUUCACAAUCUCUAUAAAUCUACCUAAUCUUAAUUAAAAUCAAAUUAUCCACAUUUUUACUUUGAAGGACAAUCAACAAGUGCAUAGAUCAGUUAACAUGAGAUUGUUCUAACUUAACUAAGGUAUUGGUUCGAGAUUUAGGAAUGCAGUUGUGUUAAAUAAUUUUUGGCAGAGUUUUGUCGCUCUAGUGUCCAACCUGACUCGAAUCUAAACUAGUCGAAGUCCAAUGUGAUUUUUGGAUAUCAUAUGAUUUA
Molecule: long non-coding RNA, 2208 nt
Filed under: Citrus x clementina
Lineage: Eukaryota; Viridiplantae; Streptophyta; Magnoliopsida; Sapindales; Rutaceae
Description: Citrus clementina (C. clementina) long non-coding RNA (CCLE_LNC001544)
Source: RNAcentral